This 181-nucleotide non-coding RNA is filed under the name Pseudodesulfovibrio piezophilus. Lineage: Bacteria; Pseudomonadati; Thermodesulfobacteriota; Desulfovibrionia; Desulfovibrionales; Desulfovibrionaceae. The record is from RNAcentral. RNAcentral also lists the same sequence under 1 other name.
AUAGUAGACAGUCCUUCAGGUGUCCGAAUGGACUUGAUAGGGAAUCCCGUGUGAAUCGGGAGCGGACCCGCCGCCGUGACGCUCUGCCGAACUGUUUUCUUGACAUGCCACUGGUCCAAGUACUGGGAAGGCGAAAACAGGAGGAGCCAGCCGGAAGACCUGCCUGAAAACGAUAUUGGUU